Danio aesculapii is the source of this 265-nucleotide long non-coding RNA. RefSeq lists it as uncharacterized. Lineage: Eukaryota; Metazoa; Chordata; Actinopteri; Cypriniformes; Danionidae. The record is from RefSeq and is a predicted model, not a curated record. The transcript has 3 exons.
GGACAGCGUAGAGCAGAUUCAUGGCUUAGAAAUCAGGAUGAGGAAAACUGUGUCUGGGCAAAGCAGUGUAUUUCUGAAGUGCAGUGGCUCCAGUCCUGGCACACAGUCUCUACUGUCACGCAUAGAGCUCACACUGUCGGAAAACAUGGGAAAAGCUAACAGCGACUGGGAAACUUUCCUACAAGCAUAUAACAAAUGCAAAGGGAUCUCAGCAAGUAGUCCUGCAUUAAAUGAGAGUGUGGGCGCUCUGCUGGCAUCGCUGGAC